GAUGAACGCUAGCGGCAGGCUUAACACAUGCAAGUCGAGGGGUAUUGGUUUUCGGACCAAGAGACCGGCGCACGGGUGCGUAACGCGUAUGCAAUCUACCUUUUGCAGAGGGAUAGCCCCAGAGAAAUUUGGAUUAAUACCUCAUAGUAUAGUACUUUGGCAUCAAGGAACUAUUAAAGUCACAACGGCAAAAGAUGAGCAUGCGUCCCAUUAGCUAGUUGGUAAGGUAACGGCUUACCAAGGCUACGAUGGGUAGGGGUCCUGAGAGGGAGAUCCCCCACACUGGUACUGAGACACGGACCAGACUCCUACGGGAGGCAGCAGUGAGGAAUAUUGGACAAUGGGCGCAAGCCUGAUCCAGCCAUGCCGCGUGCAGGAUGACGGUCCUAUGGAUUGUAAACUGCUUUUAUACAGGAAGAAACACUCCGACGUGUCGGAGCUUGACGGUACUGUAAGAAUAAGGAUCGGCUAACUCCGUGCCAGCAGCC
RNAcentral lists this ribosomal RNA (488 nucleotides) under uncultured bacterium. Its description in RNAcentral is "bacterial SSU rRNA". It matches the Rfam family "Bacterial small subunit ribosomal RNA", at positions 28 to 516 of the family's 1533-position model. The record is from RNAcentral.